RNA transcript from Asparagus officinalis (garden asparagus), 1313 nucleotides. It is a transcript of the gene named ribulose-phosphate 3-epimerase, chloroplastic-like, with no coding region annotated. The transcript has 10 exons. The record is from RefSeq and is a predicted model, not a curated record. Lineage: Eukaryota; Viridiplantae; Streptophyta; Magnoliopsida; Asparagales; Asparagaceae.
UCACCCACAACCUCCUCAUUUUUUGUUUCGGUCUGAAAACAACCGAAAAAGUAAAGAGAAAAAAAAAAAACGUUGAAUCAAAGCCAACGAAAUAAAAAAGGAGAUAAAACCCAACAAAAUCAGCAUCUCUCUGCUCUAAAGAGAAUCGAGAAGAUGAUGAUCUCUUCAGCAACAGCAGCAGCUGCUUCAUCUUCUUCCUCUCUCUGCUCUCGCAAGCUCUCCCUCUUCUCUCCUCCCCAAAAAUCCCUCUCUCCGAGAAGGAGGUUCUGUGUUAAGGCAUCGAGAGUUGAUAAAUUCUCGAAAAGCGAUGUAAUUGUCUCCCCUUCCAUCCUCUCGGCUAAUUUCGCCAAGCUCGGCGAGCAGGUGAAAGCAGUGGAAGUUGCAGGAUGUGACUGGAUUCAUGUUGAUGUGAUGGAUGGGCGUUUUGUGCCAAAUAUCACCAUAGGACCUCUUGUGGUUGAUGCUUUACGUCCAGUUACUGAUCUACCAUUGGAUGUGCAUUUGAUGAUUGUAGAACCUGAGCAGCGAGUUCCAGACUUUAUCAAGGCCGGUGCAGACAUUGUCAGCGUUCACUGUGAGCAGUCUGCAACAAUUCAUCUGCAUCGGACAAUUGAUCAGAUAAAAAGUCUGGGAGCGAAAGCUGGAGUUGUCUUAAAUCCUGGAACUCCAUUGUCAGCUAUAGAAUACGUGCUGGAUGCGGUGGAUUUGGUCUUGAUCAUGUCAGUUAACCCUGGCUUUGGUGGCCAGAGUUUUAUUGAGAGUCAAGUUAAGAAAAUAUCAGACUUGAGAAGAUUAUGCGCUGAAAAGGGGGUGAACCCAUGGAUUGAAGUGGACGGCGGAGUUAGUCCAUCGAAUGCAUAUAAGGUUAUUGAGGCUGGAGCUAAUGCCCUGGUUGCUGGUUCUGCCGUAUUUGGAGCUAAAGAUUAUGCAGAAGCAAUAAAAGGCAUAAAGGCGAGUAGAAAGCCUGAACCAGUUGCAGUAUGAUAGUUGCAAUGAUUCGAUAAGCAUAUACUUGCAGAAAUCUUAUCUUUCAUUCUCCUCCUGUUCCAAUAUAACAAUAUUAAAAAAAAGUCGGGAGAAAGAACAGCAUGUCAAGAUGCACUGAAUCUACCAAGAGAAGGCUGUUAUCGGAGUUGUUUUAUAUGAUUUGUGAAUUGUAUUAUUUGAUCCUGGGACAUCUGAAAACAAUCACAGAGGGGAUUGAGCAAAGUUAAGUGGUGGUUGAUAAAAAAAUAUAUGUUGUUCUUGCUGUUUCUGUAUCACGCACAGGACGUGGAUGUGACAUUCACUAGAGAUUACAAAAGUUUUCAGCA